This 1377-nucleotide ribosomal RNA is filed under the name uncultured Actinomycetes bacterium. Its description in RNAcentral is "bacterial SSU rRNA". The stretch from base 1 to 941 matches the Rfam family "Bacterial small subunit ribosomal RNA", at positions 590 to 1533 of the family's 1533-position model. The record is from RNAcentral. Lineage: Bacteria; Bacillati; Actinomycetota; Actinomycetes.
GACCGUGAAAACCUGGGGCUCAACCCCAGGCCUGCGGUCGAUACGGGCAGGCUAGAGUUCGGUAGGGGAGACUGGAAUUCCUGGUGUAGCGGUGAAAUGCGCAGAUAUCAGGAGGAACACCGGUGGCGAAGGCGGGUCUCUGGGCCGAUACUGACGCUGAGGAGCGAAAGCGUGGGGAGCGAACAGGAUUAGAUACCCUGGUAGUCCACGCUGUAAACGUUGGGCGCUAGGUGUGGGGGGCCUCUCCGGUUCCCUGUGCCGCAGCUAACGCAUUAAGCGCCCCGCCUGGGGAGUACGGCCGCAAGGCUAAAACUCAAACGAAUUGACGGGGGCCCGCACAAGCGGUGGAGCAUGUGGUUUAAUUCGAUGCAACGCGAAAAACCUUACCUGCCUUUGACAUCUUCGGAACGGUCCAGAGAUGGACUGGUGCCCUAGGGAACCGAAUGACAGGUGCUGCGCGGCUGUCGUCAGCUCGUGUCGUGAGAUGUUGGGUUAAGUCCCGUAACGAGCGCAACCCUUAUCCCUAGUUGCCAGCGGUUCGGCCGGGAACUCUAGGGAGACUGCCGGUGAUAAACCGGAGGAAGGUGGGGAUGACGUCAAGUCCUCAUGGCCUUUAUGGGCAGGGCUACACACGUGCUACAAUGGGCGGUACAGAGGGCGGCCAAGCCGCGAGGCGGAGCUAAUCCCAGAAAACCGUUCGUAGUCCGGAUUGGAGUCUGCAACUCGACUCCAUGAAGUCGGAAUCGCUAGUAAUCGCGGAUCAGAACGCCGCGGUGAAUACGUACCCGGGCCUUGUACACACCGCCCGUCAUACCAUGGGAGUGGGCUGUACCAGAAGUGGGCUCGACUCCAUGAAGUCGGAAUCGCUAGUAAUCGCGGAUCAGAACGCCGCGGUGAAUACGCAAGCCGCGAGGCGGAGCUAAUCCCAGAAAACCGUUCGUAGUCCGGAUUGGAGUCUGCAACCUCAUGGCCUUUAUGGGCAGGGCUACACACGUGCUACAAUGGGCGGUACAGAGGGCGGCCCGGGAACUCUAGGGAGACUGCCGGUGAUAAACCGGAGGAAGGUGGGGAUGACGUCAAGUAGAUGUUGGGUUAAGUCCCGUAACGAGCGCAACCCUUAUCCCUAGUUGCCAGCGGUUCGGACUGGUGCCCUAGGGAACCGAAUGACAGGUGCUGCGCGGCUGUCGUCAGCUCGUGUCGUGUUCGAUGCAACGCGAAAAACCUUACCUGCCUUUGACAUCUUCGGAACGGUCCAGAGAUGGAAGGCUAAAACUCAAACGAAUUGACGGGGGCCCGCACAAGCGGUGGAGCAUGUGGUUUAAGGUUCCCUGUGCCGCAGCUAACGCAUUAAGCGCCCCGCCUGGGGAGUACGGCCGC